This 291-nucleotide ribosomal RNA is filed under the name uncultured eukaryote. RNAcentral's name for it is "partial small subunit ribosomal RNA". The record is from RNAcentral.
CUCCCGAUGUAAACCGUCUCCGGGUUCCUCAGGUCGAAGGCGACGACUUCGCCGCACAACGCGGAGGGCCCGACCCCGUCGAAAUCACCCUCGAAGUCGAGUUUGCGCCAGCUUGCGCCGCCGUUUGUCGUCUUCCACAGACCACCGUCCCAGCGGCCAUCGGCAACACGCCCGGCGGCACGCAGCAUGAUAUCCGCCCCGCUCUCCACACCCUCGCUGUACCAGGUUGCCUGCAACGCGUGUGGCCCCAGGAGGACAAGGGCAAUGAGCAGGGCGGCGAUUCUUCGUCGG